CAAAAGCCGUCUCAGUUCGGAUUGCACUCUGCAACUCGGGUGCAUGAAGGCGGAAUCGCUAGUAAUCGUGGAUCAGCACGCCACGGUGAAUACGUUCCCGGGCCUUGUACACACCGCCCGUCACACCAUGGGAGUUGGUCUUACCCGACGGCGCUGCGCCAACCGCAAGGGGGCAGGCGACCACGGUAGGGUCAGCGACUGGGGUGAAGUCGUAACAAGGUAGCCGUAGGGGAACCUGCGGCUGGAUCACCUCCUUUCUAAGG
This 263-nucleotide ribosomal RNA is filed under the name Methylobacterium sp. DB0501. Its description in RNAcentral is "partial 16S ribosomal RNA". It matches the Rfam family "Bacterial small subunit ribosomal RNA", at positions 1277 to 1533 of the family's 1533-position model. The record is from RNAcentral. Lineage: Bacteria; Pseudomonadati; Pseudomonadota; Alphaproteobacteria; Hyphomicrobiales; Methylobacteriaceae.